UACGUAGGGGGCAAGCGUUGUCCGGAAUCAUUGGGCGUAAAGAGCGUGUAGGCGGCCAGAUAAGUCCGCUGUGAAAUCUCGAGGCUCAACUUCGAGCUGUCGGCGGAAACCAUCUGGCUAGAGUCCGGAAGAGGAGAGCGGAAUUCCUGGUGUAGCGGUGAAAUGCGCAGAUAUCAGGAGGAACACCCGUGGCGAAGGCGGCUCUCUGGGACGGUACUGACGCUGAGACGCGAAAGCGUGGGGAGCGAACAGG
Molecule: ribosomal RNA, 253 nt
Filed under: uncultured bacterium
Lineage: Bacteria
Description: partial 16S ribosomal RNA
Rfam family: Bacterial small subunit ribosomal RNA
Source: RNAcentral